CACGUAGGGGGCAAGCGUUGUCCGGAUUUAUUGGGCGUAAAGAGCUCGUAGGCGGUUCGGUAAGUCGGGUGUGAAACCUCCAGGCUCAACCUGGAGACGCCACCCGAUACUGCUGUGACUAGAGUCCGGUAGGGGAGCGUGGAAUUCCUGGUGUAGCGGUGAAAUGCGCAGAUAUCAGGAGGAACACCAGUGGCGAAGGCGGCGCUCUGGGCCGGAACUGACGCUGAGACGCGAAAGCGUGGGGAGCAAACAGG
RNAcentral lists this ribosomal RNA (254 nucleotides) under uncultured bacterium. RNAcentral describes it as "partial 16S ribosomal RNA". It matches the Rfam family "Bacterial small subunit ribosomal RNA", at positions 524 to 776 of the family's 1533-position model. The record is from RNAcentral.